UGCACUGUUUCCAUUGCUACUAUUUUUCAAGUCAAUCAAAUAAGGAUUCAUUAAUCAUUUAUUAUGUGUAAGAAGCCAAGGUCAUCCACUGCAUUUGAGCCAUCACCAGUUGCCUUGACUUUUUCUUGCCACUGGACUUCUAUGGCUCUGGAGGAGAGAGUGAGGGCUCUAACUUUGUCCAACUCUGCCUCAAUUAAACCCAGUUUAUGCUCUAGUCAAAAGACAUCACUGGUGAUGCCAUUUUGGUCCUCUUUGAGUACAACUAACCAACCUACCAGUCAUGUGCAAGGUUAUUUCCCAUGCCUGGAAAACUACCAGUCCUGCUUCCAGCCAUCAUUUGGGAAAAUAGGGUCCAGCCAUCCCCACCAACUGUCAACCAACUGCCAUAUAGAGGGAAGACAAGCCAACAAACUAACUAAGCACAGACAUCUCUAUUGA
RNAcentral lists this long non-coding RNA (438 nucleotides) under Monodelphis domestica (gray short-tailed opossum). Its description in RNAcentral is "lncRNA (ENSMODG00000034809.2)". Lineage: Eukaryota; Metazoa; Chordata; Mammalia; Didelphimorphia; Didelphidae. The record is from RNAcentral.